AAGACUAUACUUUCAGGGAUUAUUUCUACAGUUCAUUACUAGGGAAGUUUCCCUGAAUGUGUAGGGAACCAAAAACACUCUUCAGGAUAUUAUCCAGAAGA
Nomascus leucogenys (northern white-cheeked gibbon) is the source of this 101-nucleotide small nucleolar RNA. It matches the Rfam family "Small nucleolar RNA U3". From Rfam's summary of the family: Small nucleolar RNAs (snoRNAs) are involved in the processing and modification of rRNA in the nucleolus. There are two main classes of snoRNAs: the box C/D class, and the box H/ACA class. Lineage: Eukaryota; Metazoa; Chordata; Mammalia; Primates; Hylobatidae. The record is from Rfam.